GAUAUUGAACGUGAUUAGAGCAUACCUGGCUCAUGGCCUUCUUCCUCUAUUUAUAAUUUGUCCGAUGGACCUUAAACUGAGAUAAGCCUAAUAGAAUAUAAACAGAAUAAAAUAUAAACAAACUUACUUGGAAAUUUUAUUUUAUUCUCAAUAACCUUAGUAAGAUAUCUAUGAUUAUGGUGGACUAUAAGUCCAAUAAUAAGAGUUGGCUCAGUUAUGAACCAGCAUGGACAUAAUGUUACAUAUAACCGGUCGGCUAUUCUUUGUAACCGCUCGUCCCGAAUAUCAUACCGUACAUAACUAAAUUUUUUUUUACAGACACAUAACCGGUCCCG
Molecule: long non-coding RNA, 335 nt
Filed under: Vigna radiata
Lineage: Eukaryota; Viridiplantae; Streptophyta; Magnoliopsida; Fabales; Fabaceae
Description: long non-coding RNA (VRAD_LNC000180)
Source: RNAcentral